This 540-nucleotide ribosomal RNA is filed under the name uncultured bacterium. RNAcentral describes it as "bacterial SSU rRNA". It matches the Rfam family "Bacterial small subunit ribosomal RNA", at positions 335 to 870 of the family's 1533-position model. The record is from RNAcentral.
CACCUACGGGAGGCAGCAGUGGGGAAUUUUGGACAAUGGGCGCAAGCCUGAUCCAGCAAUGCCGCGUGCAGGAUGAAGGCCUUCGGGUUGUAAACUGCUUUUGUACGGAACGAAAAGGUUCUCUCUAAUACAGGGGGCAUAUGACGGUACCGUAAGAAUAAGCACCGGCUAACUACGUGCCAGCAGCCGCGGUAAUACGUAGGGUGCGAGCGUUAAUCGGAAUUACUGGGCGUAAAGCGUGCGCAGGCGGUUUUGUAAGACAGAGGUGAAAUCCCCGGGCUCAACCUGGGAACUGCCUUUGUGACUGCAAGGCUGGAGUGCGGCAGAGGGGGAUGGAAUUCCGCGUGUAGCAGUGAAAUGCGUAGAUAUGCGGAGGAACACCGAUGGCGAAGGCAAUCCCCUGGGCCUGCACUGACGCUCAUGCACGAAAGCGUGGGGAGCAAACAGGAUUAGAUACCCUGGUAGUCCACGCCCUAAACGAUGUCAACUGGUUGUUGGGGGUUAAUUCACUCAGUAACGAAGCUAACGCGUGAAGUGACC